GUCGGUCUGGAUGACAGGAAGAGGUGAAAAUUCCUGCGCCUACCGGGACUCGAACUCCAAUCCCUUGGUCGUCCGGCCCAAAGCCAACUGCUAUACUGACUGCGCAAUCCCGGCUCCUCCUGUAUGGAUGUAAAAGUGCUCUUUCUUGACCUGAACAUUGCAUGAAGGUGACUGAUAUGCCUCAUGCUCCUUUUGCUUUACUAUGGGAAGAGAGGCUCCUGCACCCAUCAGGUAAAUCAAUUCAGCAGAUUGGACUGAGGUCAAUUACUUCUGCUGCUUUCACCCUUUUCCACCUCAGCUUCAACCUAAAAGUCAGUAGCCAUUUCACUAUAUGAAAGUGAAACUUUUUGUUUAUACAGUUAAUUAUUGGCAGUAGGAGUUCAUCAUUUAUCAAUAUAUUCAGGGAAUAUAAUGUUAUUUGUGUAUUGUACCACACUGAUACAGAAAAAGUCCAGUGGUUAUUCUGAUAUUUGGUAUUGAUUCAUUAAAUGUACCAUUUGACGUUAUGAUAAUUGUACUGUUUUCUGCCUCUCUACCCAUGAAUGUAUACAAUAUGGCUGUUUCUAGCAUAAUGGAAAUUAUUCAGAAAAUUUGAAUGCAGAAAUUUAAAGAAGUUAAUAAGGUUAGCUAAUGUUCAGUUUCUACAUCACAACAAUAAUACCUUGUUUGCUUGAUCAGCAGUAUAGGUUCCCUUACAUCAUUGUUGAUGAUAAUACUUGUACCCAUUGAUAAUGUGCUUGUCUAUUUUCAGAUUUUUAAUUACAUUUCUCUGAUUAACCAUCAUUAAAUUGAGAUAAAUUAUAUUUAUUGUAAUUUAUCAAGGUCAACAAAUUCAUUUAAUGAUGGUGUUGUGAUCUGUUCGGUAAUAUUUAACUAGUCAUGCACGAAUCUGGGGGAGGCUAAUCUUAAUACAAGGAAUGAAUGUUUUUGCCUGUACUGCUCUACAAGAUUUCUUCUUGAAUUCAAGCGAAAAUGUAAAACAAACUUCAGUUACUCAAUGAUGUAAUUAAAACUCAAAUGUUUCAUAUAAAAUGAAAAAAAAAAAAAGAAUCAUAUGCAUCAGAUAUGCUCGAAAAUGCAACAGCAUUAAUUUACCAGAUGCCUCAUAGGGUCAUUCAUGAAAACAGAAUCCCAUAUACUAUGAAAAUUCGGCAAAGAGAUUACAGGUUUUCUCCAUUUAUCAGUUUUUCUGUUGACAUUUAUCUAAUACAGUAAAACAGUGUUUUUACCUUGUGAAUGUACAUAUAAUGAAAGGGCUGUAUGAUGCCAUGAACAUGGGCUAGUAAAAUAAGGGAAAACUGUCAUACAAAUUAAUAUUUAGUAAUUAUAAUAUCAAACGUAAAUUCAAUGUGUUACCCGGAUUGUUCCAGGUUAUGUAUUUAGUCACAGGUAAUGUGGAAUUGAUCUGACGCGGAAAGGCACAUACUUCAAAAUAUAUUAUUGAAAAAACAAGUUAAUCAUAUAACAUUUAAAAGAUACAACUCUUUAAGCGCAGGACUGCAUAUCAAAAUUAAAAAUAUUCUUGCAUAUAUGUGCAUAAUAUCAUCCCCAACCCUACAAUUUUGAGAAGGAUUUUGUUUUUUUGUUUGUUUGUUUUUUGUUUUUGUUUUUGUUUUUUUCAUUUAUUAUUUCUCAUAUUUCUCUGUCUUCAGUUCUACAUCAAUUUGCUUUUUCCAUUGACUUUGGAGACAGGCAAAGUCUAGGACCCUGUACUUGACAAAAUGCAUUACAUAUACAAUAGGGCUACAACCAAUCCUUUACAAAUUUUGUAAUUCUGUAUUCCUCUAGUUUUUAAAUGUGAAUCUUCACUCUCUGUGCCUAAUUCCCAGAAUAUUAUCUUCAUUUUCUUUCCUGCAGUUUAGGAAUCAGACAGAAAGGGGGGAAAAUUAUACAACAAAUUGUAAAUUUUUAAUUAAAAGAAAUACCAAAAUACAAAAGUUAAUUUUAGAUUGUUAACCGAAUGUUUAAAAAAUACCUAAUUUUUAUUAAUAUGCUUCAAUGCCUCGUAAAUGCCACAAAAGUAGCCACCACUAUAAUAUCCUACAUAUAUCUGAUUAACUGUAUGUAAAUCAUUCAAGUGAACAAUUUAGUUUGACACUAUACAAUUUGUGUAGCUGUUACAAGCAAUUAUGUUUUCCUUUGUUCAUUAAUGAAAAACACUAAAAUUAUAAAAUUCUUUAUUUAAUAAUUUGUGAUUCUAAAUACCUGUAUGCUGUAAUACAUGAACAGACAAGGAAAAAACAUAUAUAUUAAUAGUAAAAGUAAAGUUGUCCCUGUGCUUAACUAAGUAAGUACUACGCCAUGAAGGCGUAUAGGGGAGUGCCCU
Molecule: long non-coding RNA, 2326 nt
Organism: Cryptotermes secundus
Lineage: Eukaryota; Metazoa; Arthropoda; Insecta; Blattodea; Kalotermitidae
Exons: 3
Source: RefSeq, a predicted model, not a curated record